Molecule: ribosomal RNA, 473 nt
Filed under: uncultured bacterium
Lineage: Bacteria
Description: bacterial SSU rRNA
Rfam family: Bacterial small subunit ribosomal RNA
Source: RNAcentral
ACUCCUACGGGAGGCAGCAGUGGGGAAUAUUGCACAAUGGGGGAAACCCUGAUGCAGCCAUGCCGCGUGUGUGAAGAAGGCCUUCGGGUUGUAAAGCACUUUCAGUAGGGAGGAAGGUAGUGUAGUUAACACCUGCACUAUUUGACGUUACCUACAGAAGAAGCACCGGCUAACUCCGUGCCAGCAGCCGCGGUAAUACGGAGGGUGCGAGCGUUAAUCGGAAUUACUGGGCGUAAAGCGCAUGCAGGCGGCCUGUUAAGUCAGAUGUGAAAGCCCGGGGCUUAACCUCGGAAUUGCAUUUGAAACUGGCAGGCUAGAGUCUUGUAGAGGGGGGUAGAAUUUCAGGUGUAGCGGUGAAAUGCGUAGAGAUCUGAAGGAAUACCAGUGGCGAAGGCGGCCCCCUGGACAAAGACUGACGCUCAGAUGCGAAAGCGUGGGGAGCAAACAGGUUUAGAUACCCUGGUAGCACAGAG